GUGUCUUGGCUAAUGUGUCUCGGCUAAAGUGUCUUGGCUAAGGUGUCUUGGCUAAGGUGUCUUGGCUAAGGUGUCUUGGCUAAGGUGUCUUGGCUAAGGUGUCUUGGCUAAUGUGUCUUGGCUAAGGUGUCUUGGCUAAGGUGUCUUGGCUAAGGUGUCUUGGCUAAUGUGUCUUGGCUAAUGUGUCUUGGCUAAGGUGUCUUGGCUAAGGUGUCUUGGCUGAGGUGUCUUGGCUAAUGUGUCUUGGCUAAGGUGUCUUGGCUAAGGUGUCUUGGCUAAUGUGUCUCGGCUAAAGUGUCUUGGCUAAUGUGUCUUGGCUAAGGUGUCUUGGCUAAGGUGUCUUGGCUAAUGUGUCUUGGCUAAGGUGUCUUGGCUAAGGUGUCUUGGCUAAUGUGUCUUGGCUAAGGUGUCUUGGCUAAUGUGUCUCGGCUAAUGUGUCUUGGCUAAGGUGUCUUGGCUAAUGUGUCUUGGCUAAUGUGUCUUGGCUAAUGUGUCUUGGCUAAGGUGUCUUGGCUAAGGUGUCUUGGCUAAGGUGUCUUGGCUAAAGUGUCUUGGCUAAGGUGUCUUGGCUAAGGUGUCUUGGCUAAGGUGUCUUGGCUAAGGUGUCUUGGCUAAGGUGUCUUGGCUAAGGUGUCUUGGCUAAUGUGUCUUGGCUAAGGUGUCUUGGCUAAGGUGUCUUGGCUAAUGUGUCUCGGCUAAGGUGUCUUGGCUUAGGUGUCUUGGCUAAUGUGUCUUGGCUUAGGUGUCUUGGCUAAUGUGUCUCGGCUAAGGUGUCUUGGCUAAGGUGUCUUGGCUAAGGUGUCUUGGCUAAUGUGUCUUGGCUAAGGUGUCUUGGCUAAUGUGUCUUGGCUAAUGUGUCUUGGCUAAGGUGUCUUGGCUAAGGUGUCUUGGCUAAGGUGUCUUGGCUAAGGUGUCUUGGCUAAUGUGUCUUGGCUAAGGUGUCUUGGCUAAUGUGUCUCGGCUAAGGUGUCUUGGCUAAGGUGUCUUGGCUUAGGUGUCUUGGCUAAUGUGUCUCGGCUAAGGUGUCUUGGCUAAAGUGUCUUGGCUAAGGUGUCUUGGCUAAGGUGUCUUGGCUAAGGUGUCUUGGCUAAGGUGUCUCGGCUAAUGUGUCUUGGCUAAUGUGUCUUGGCUAAAGUGUCUUGGCUAAGGUGUCUUGGCUAAUGUGUCUUGGCUAAUGUGUCUUGGCUAAUGUGUCUUGGCUUAGGUGUCUUGGCUAAUGUGUCUCGGCUAAGGUGUCUUGGCUAAGGUGUCUUGGCUAAGGUGUCUUGGCUAAGGUGUCUUGGCUAAUGUGUCUUGGCUAAGGUGUCUUGGCUAAUGUGUCUCGGCUAAGGUGUCUUGGCUAAGGUGUCUUGGCUUAGGUGUCUUGGCUAAUGUGUCUCGGCUAAGGUGUCUUGGCUAAAGUGUCUUGGCUAAGGUGUCUUGGCUAAGGUGUCUUGGCUAAGGUGUCUUGGCUAAGGUGUCUCGGCUAAUGUGUCUUGGCUAAUGUGUCUUGGCUAAAGUGUCUUGGCUAAGGUGUCUUGGCUAAUGUGUCUUGGCUAAUGUGUCUUGGCUAAGGUGUCUUGGCUAAGGUGUCUUGGCUAAGGUGUCUUGGCUAAGGUGUCUUGGCUAAGAUGUCUUGGCUAAGGUGUCUUGGCUAAUGUGUCUUGGCUAAUGUGUCUUGGCUAAGGUGUCUUGGCUAAUGUGUCUUGGCUAAGGUGUCUUGGCUAAGGUGUCUUGGCUAAGGUGUCUUGGCUAAUGUGUCUCGGCUAAGGUGUCUUGGCUAAGGUGUCUUGGCUAAGGUGUCUUGGUUAAGGUGUCUUGGCUAAGUUGUCUUGGCUAAUGUGUCUUGGCUAAUGUGUCUUGGCUAAUGUGUCUUGGCUAAGGUGUCUUGGCUAAGGUGUCUUGGCUAAGGUGUCUUGGCUAAGGUGUCUUGGCUAAGGUGUCUUGGCUAAGGUGUCUUGUCUAAUGUGUCUUGGCUAAUGUGUCUUGGCUAAUGUGUCUUGGCUAAGGUGUCUUGGCUAAAGUGUCUUGGCUAAGGUGUCUUGGCUAAUGUGUCUUGGCUAAUGUGUCUUGGCUAAGGUGUCUUGGCUAAGGUGUCUUGGCUAAGGUGUCUUGGCUAAGG
Molecule: long non-coding RNA, 2101 nt
Organism: Anopheles funestus (African malaria mosquito)
Lineage: Eukaryota; Metazoa; Arthropoda; Insecta; Diptera; Culicidae
Exons: 3
Source: RefSeq, a predicted model, not a curated record